Long non-coding RNA from Etheostoma spectabile (orangethroat darter), 724 nucleotides. RefSeq lists it as uncharacterized. The record is from RefSeq and is a predicted model, not a curated record. The transcript has 4 exons. NCBI's taxonomy places the organism in Eukaryota, Metazoa, Chordata, Actinopteri, Perciformes, Percidae.
AUGAAGAGGGACCCGGACGUCCAUCUGAAAGCGAGCUACGAGCCUCAGAAACACGACUUUUCCUAGCUGUGUUCCGAGGUUUUCUCUUUUCUCUCUGACCCGGGACAACCCGGGCUACACCUCCUCCGCCCUGGCCAGCACCCUCACCCAGACCCUCACCCCCCCCACAGCCGCCGCCGCCUCCGACUCCCGGGGACGCAAGUCCAAAAGCAGCAUCAAGUCUUCCAACCACCAGUCGUCUUCAUCGUCCUCCUCCUCCUCUCUGUCCUCCUGCUCUUCAUCGUCCGCCCUGGCCCAGGAACUUUCCCAGCAUGCAUCAGCGCUGCCCGAGGCCGAGGCCAACAGCCAGUUCACUGACAUGACUACGAAACCCCAACGAGCCCUAUACCUGCAUCUGUACCCAUGUUUCUUACGGAGAGAUGGUCGGGUGUGACAACACAGAUUGUCCCAUCGAGUGGUUCCACUACGGCUGUGUGGGUCUGACCGAGGCCCCCAAGGGGAAGUGGUUCUGUCCUCAGUGCACGGCGGCCAUGAAGAGACGGGGCAGCCGCCACAAAUAGGCUGCAGAGGUCAGAGGUCACCAGGCUGCUCACACACACACAUCAGCUUUAAAUUCAGACUCCAUGUUUUUCACUGAAUAUCAGCCAUAAGUGUAGUUUUUUAUGUUAUAAGCCCAGAAACUACAAAUGUUCUCCAUGUUUGUUUUGUCAUAAGAAUGUCAAAA